This is a non-coding RNA of Rattus norvegicus (Norway rat), 480 nucleotides long. The record is from RefSeq and is a predicted model, not a curated record. NCBI's taxonomy places the organism in Eukaryota, Metazoa, Chordata, Mammalia, Rodentia, Muridae.
AGAAAGAGAAAAGCCUUCCAAAGCUGCAGGAUGGCAGAGACCUUUGUGAGCAGAUAUGUGAGCUUCAAAACAGAUGGAAAGGAUCACAUUGGAUGAAAGAUCCCAUCCAAGGCUCAGUCUGAGCAGGAUCAGCUUGGGGGUUAAGUUUGCAUCAAGUACGUACAAAUUGAUCGUCUAGAGACCAUGGCCUCUGGCAACGGUUGAUGUAAUAGUUAAAUUCAUGUGUCAGUUUGACCUGGACAUAGCAUACUCAGCGUUUAGUCAAAUGUAUUUAGGGACACUUCUCUGAGUGUGUUUGCCGUGUUUCAACUGCUAGGCUGGGUAAUACACACGGCUCUCCCUAUGAAGACUGGGCACAGUUUAAGAAGAUACAGAUCUGAAGAUCAUCACAAGAGUCUGUGUUUACAGAAGCAGAGAGAACUCCCCCCCCCCAUUGUUGUAAAAAUAUAAAAAAUAAAGACGCUGUCUUUUAUCCUGCUA